This 269-nucleotide ribosomal RNA is filed under the name uncultured prokaryote. RNAcentral describes it as "partial 16S ribosomal RNA". It matches the Rfam family "Bacterial small subunit ribosomal RNA", at positions 524 to 792 of the family's 1533-position model. The record is from RNAcentral.
UACGUAGGAGGCGAGCGUUAUCCGGAUUUAUUGGGCGUAAAGAGCGCGUAGGCGGCCUAUUAAGUCAGUUGUGAAAGCUCCCAGCUUAACUGGGAGAGGUCAACUGAUACUGGUGGGCUUGAGGGCAGCAGAGGGAGGUGGAAUUCCCGGUGUAGCGGUGAAAUGCGUAGAGAUCGGGAGGAACACCAGUGGCGAAGGCGGCCUCCUGGGCUGUUUCUGACGCUGAGGCGCGAAAGCGUGGGGAGCAAACAGGAUUAGAUACCCCCGUA